GACGAACGCUGGCGGCGUGCUUAACACAUGCAAGUCGAACGAUGAAGAAAAGAAUUGAAGCUUCGGCAGAAAUUCAUUUCGGAUUAGUGGCAGACGGGUGAGUAACGCGUGAGCAACCUACCUCUUACAAAGGGAUAGCCUCGGGAAACCGGGAUUAAUACCAUAUAACAUUGCGACGAAGCAUUUCGAUGCAAUCAAAGCUACGGCGGUAAGAGAUGGGCUCGCGUCCCAUUAACCAGAUGGUGAGGUAACGGCUCACCAUAGUAACGAUGGGUAACCGGCCUGAGAGAGUGAACGGUCACACUGGAACUGAGACACGGUCCAGACUCCUACGGGAGGCAGCAGUGGGGAAUAUUGCACAAUGGAGGGAACUCUGAUGCAGCGACGCCGCGUGAGUGAUGAAGGAAUUCGUUUCGUAAAACUCUGUUCUAUGGGAAGAAAAGGACUGUACCAUAGGAGAAAGCUCCGGCUAAAUACGUG
Molecule: ribosomal RNA, 480 nt
Filed under: uncultured bacterium
Lineage: Bacteria
Description: partial 16S ribosomal RNA
Rfam family: Bacterial small subunit ribosomal RNA
Source: RNAcentral